CCMGCUCCAAUAGCGUAUAUUUAAGUUGUUGCAGUUAAAAAGCUCGUAGUUGGAUUUCGGGUGGGUUCUAGCGGUCCGCCUAUGGUGAGUACUGCUAUGGCCUUCCUUUCUGUCGGGGACGGGCUUCUGGGCUUCACUGUCCGGGACUCGGAGUCGACGUGGUUACUUUGAGUAAAUUAGAGUGUUCAAAGCAGGCUUACGCCCUGAAUACUUUAGCAUGGAAUAACACGAUAGGACUCUGGCCUAUCUUGUUGGUCUGUAGGACCGGAGUAAUGAUUAAGAGGGACAGUCRGGGGCAUUCGUAUUUCAUUGUCAGAGGUGAAAUUCUUGGAUUUAUGAAAGACGAACUACUGCGAAAGCAUUUGCCAAGGAUGUUUUCAUUAAUCAAGAACGAAAGUUGGGGGCUCGAAGACGAUUAGAUACCGUCGUAGUCUCAACCAUAAACGAUGCCGACUAGGGAUUGGCGAAUGUUUUUUUAAUGACUUCGCCAGCACCUUAUGAGAAAUCAAAGUUUUUGGGUUCCGGGGGGAGUAUGGUCGCAAGGCUGAAACUUAAAGGAAUUGACGGAAGGGCACCACCAGGCGUGGAGCCUGCGGCUUAAUUCGACUCAAC
RNAcentral lists this ribosomal RNA (612 nucleotides) under uncultured alga. RNAcentral's name for it is "SSU rRNA". It matches the Rfam family "Eukaryotic small subunit ribosomal RNA", at positions 587 to 1215 of the family's 1831-position model. The record is from RNAcentral.